This 77-nucleotide transfer RNA is filed under the name Acidobacteriota bacterium. RNAcentral describes it as "Acidobacteria bacterium (groundwater metagenome) tRNA-Arg". It matches the Rfam family "tRNA". From Rfam's summary of the family: Transfer RNA (tRNA) molecules are approximately 80 nucleotides in length. Their secondary structure includes four short double-helical elements and three loops (D, anti-codon, and T loops). Lineage: Bacteria; Pseudomonadati; Acidobacteriota. The record is from RNAcentral.
GCGCGUGUAGCUCAGGUGGAUAGAGCAGAGGUUUCCUAAACCUCGUGCCGGGGGUUCAAGUCCUCCCACGCGCGCCA